GCCCCUGUAGCUCAGAGGAUAGAGCGAGAACCUCCUAAGUUCUGUCAGCGCAGGUUCGAGUCCUGCCAGGGGCA
This 74-nucleotide transfer RNA is filed under the name Chloroflexota bacterium. RNAcentral describes it as "Chloroflexi bacterium tRNA-Arg". It matches the Rfam family "tRNA". Rfam says of the family: Transfer RNA (tRNA) molecules are approximately 80 nucleotides in length. The record is from RNAcentral. Lineage: Bacteria; Bacillati; Chloroflexota.